GCCCCCUUGGCUCAAUGGAUAGAGCGACGGCCUCCGGAGCCGUAGAUGUGGGUUCGACUCCUACAGGGGGUACCA
Molecule: transfer RNA, 75 nt
Filed under: Planctomycetota bacterium
Lineage: Bacteria; Pseudomonadati; Planctomycetota
Also listed under: 1 other name
Description: tRNA-Arg
Rfam family: tRNA
About the family: Transfer RNA (tRNA) molecules are approximately 80 nucleotides in length. Their secondary structure includes four short double-helical elements and three loops (D, anti-codon, and T loops). Further hydrogen bonds mediate the characteristic L-shaped molecular structure. tRNAs have two regions of fundamental functional importance: the anti-codon, which is responsible for specific mRNA codon recognition, and the 3' end, to which the tRNAs corresponding amino acid is attached (by aminoacyl-tRNA synthetases). tRNAs cope with the degeneracy of the genetic code in two manners: having more than one tRNA (with a specific anti-codon) for a particular amino acid; and 'wobble' base-pairing, i.e. permitting non-standard base-pairing at the 3rd anti-codon position.
Source: RNAcentral